UAGAUACUCCCUUCGUCCGGAAAUAGUCGUCAUCAAAAUGGAUAAAAGGGGAUGUUUCUAGACAUAUUUUAGUUCUAGAUACAUAUCUUUUUAUCCAUUUUGAUGACAAGUAUUUUUGGACAGAGUGAGUAUAUC
Triticum aestivum (bread wheat) is the source of this 135-nucleotide non-coding RNA. Lineage: Eukaryota; Viridiplantae; Streptophyta; Magnoliopsida; Poales; Poaceae. The record is from Rfam.